GAUGAACGCUGGCGGCGUGCCUAAUACAUGCAAGUCGAGCGAACGGACGAGAAGCUUGCUUCUCUGAUGUUAGCGGCGGACGGGUGAGUAACACGUGGAUAACCUACCUAUAAGACUGGGAUAACUUCGGGAAACCGGAGCUAAUACCGGAUAAUAUUUUGAACCGCAUGGUUCAAAAGUGAAAGACGGUCUUGCUGUCACUUAUAGAUGGAUCCGCGCUGCAUUAGCUAGUUGGUAAGGUAACGGCUUACCAAGGCAACGAUGCAUAGCCGACCUGAGAGGGUGAUCGGCCACACUGGAACGGAGACACGGUCCAGACUCCUACGGGAGGCAGCAGUAGGGAAUCUUCCGCAAUGGGCGAAAGCCUGACGGAGCAACGCCGCGUGAGUGAUGAAGGUCUUCGGGUCGUAAAACUCUGUUAUUAGGGAAGAACAUAUGUGUAAGUAACUGUGCACAUCUUGACGGUACCUAAUCAGAAAGCCACGGCUAACUACGUG
Molecule: ribosomal RNA, 497 nt
Filed under: uncultured bacterium
Lineage: Bacteria
Description: partial 16S ribosomal RNA
Rfam family: Bacterial small subunit ribosomal RNA
Source: RNAcentral